This 254-nucleotide ribosomal RNA is filed under the name uncultured bacterium. RNAcentral's name for it is "partial 16S ribosomal RNA". It matches the Rfam family "Bacterial small subunit ribosomal RNA", at positions 524 to 776 of the family's 1533-position model. The record is from RNAcentral.
UACGGAGGGUGCGAGCGUUGUCCGGAAUCACUGGGCGUAAAGGGCGCGUAGGUGGCCUGUGGAAGUCUGCGGUGAAAGCCCGGCGCUCAACGCCGGGUCGGCCGUGGAUACUCUCGGGCUCGAGCUCACUAGAGGCAGAUGGAAUUCCGGGUGUAGCGGUGGAAUGCGUAGAGAUCCGGAAGAACACCGGUGGCGAAGGCGGUCUGCUGGGGUGAUGCUGACACUGAUGCGCGAAAGCUAGGGGAGCGAACGGG